RNAcentral lists this ribosomal RNA (1170 nucleotides) under uncultured Erysipelotrichaceae bacterium. RNAcentral's name for it is "bacterial SSU rRNA". It matches the Rfam family "Bacterial small subunit ribosomal RNA", at positions 8 to 1228 of the family's 1533-position model. The record is from RNAcentral. Lineage: Bacteria; Bacillati; Bacillota; Erysipelotrichia; Erysipelotrichales; Erysipelotrichaceae.
AGAGUUUGAUCCUGGCUCAGGAUGAACGCUGGCGGCGUGCCUAAUACAUGCAAGUCGAACGAGGUGGAUGGGAGCUUGCUCCUUGAUACCGAGUGGCGAACGGGUGAGUAACACGUAGGUAACCUGCCCUUAAGCUUGGGAUACCCAGAGGAAACUUUGGCUAAUACCGGAUAACAACAGAAGAGGCAUCUCUUCAGUUUGAAAGGCCCUGCAAGGGGUCACUUAAGGAUGGACCUGCGGCGCAUUAGCUAGUUGGUGAGAUAACAGCCCACCAAGGCGAGGAUGCGUAGCCGACCUGAGAGGGUGAUCGGCCACAUUGGAACUGAGACACGGUCCAAACUCCUACGGGAGGCAGCAGUAAGGAGUUUUCGGCAAUGGGGGAAACCCUGACCGAGCAACGCCGAUUCGCUUAGGAAAUGAAGCGGAUUUGACGGUACCUUACCAGAAAGCCACGGCUAACUACGUGCCAGCAGCCGCGGUAAUACGUAGGUGGCAAGCGUUAUCCGGAAUUAUUGGGCGUAAAGAGGGAGCAGGCGGCAAGAUAAGUUUGAAGUGAAAGCGUGGAGCUCAACUCCAUACAGCUUCGAAAACUGUCUAGCUAGAGUACGAGAGAAGUGAACGGAACUCCAUGUGUAGCGGUGAAAUGCGUAGAUAUAUGGAAGAACACCAGUGGCGAAGGCGGUUCACUAGCUCGAAACUGACGCUCAGUCCCGAAAGCGUGGGUAGCAAAUAGGAUUAGAUACCCUAGUAGUCCACGCUGUAAACGAUGAGAACUAAAUAUUGCCGCGAGGCAGUGUUGAAGCUAACGCAUUAAGUUCUCCGCCUGGGGAGUACGAUCGCAAGAUUGAAACUUAAAGGAAUUGACGGGGACCCGCACAAGCAGUGGAGCAUGUGGUUUAAUUCGACGCAACGCGAAGAACCUUACCAGGGCUUGACAUGGAGGCUAAAUACUUAGAGAUAAGGAAAUAUACGCCUCACACAGGUGGUGCAUGGUUGUCGUCAGCUCGUGUCGUGAGAUGUUGGGUUAAGUCCCGCAACGAGCGCAACCCCUCUCCUUAGUUGCCAUCAUUUAGUUGGGAACUCUAAGGAUACUGCCGAUGUAAGUCGGAGGAAGGUGGGGAUGACGUCAAAUCAUCAUGCCCUUUAUGUCCUGGGCGACACACGUGCUAC